RNAcentral lists this ribosomal RNA (504 nucleotides) under uncultured bacterium. RNAcentral describes it as "bacterial SSU rRNA". It matches the Rfam family "Bacterial small subunit ribosomal RNA", at positions 28 to 525 of the family's 1533-position model. The record is from RNAcentral.
GACGAACGCUGGCGGCGUGGAUUAGGCAUGCAAGUCGAACGGUAUCAUCCUUUCGGGGGUGAGAGAGUGGCGAACUGGUGAGUAACACGUAGGUUAUCUACCCUCAAGACGGGGACAACCCAGGGAAACUUGGGCUAAUACCGGAUGUGAGCAACUUUUAGUUGUUUGAAAGGUGGCGUAAGCUGUCGCUUGGGGAUGAGCCUGCGUCCUAUUAGUUAGUUGGUGAGGUAACGGCUCACCUAGGCAAUGAUAGGUAGGCGGCCUUAACGGGUGGUCGCCCACACUGGGAUUGAGAUACGGCCCAGACUCCUACGGGAGGCAGCAGUCGAGAAUAGUCUACAAUGGUCGGAAGACUGAUAGUGCGACGCCGCGUGAACGAUGAAUCCCUUCGGGUGUAAAGUUCUUUUAUAUGUGAGCAGUGCUUCUUAUAUUAACAGUAUGGGGAGAGAGAUAUUAGCAUAUGAAUAAGCAACGGCUAACUCCGUGCCAGCAGCCGCGGUAAUA